CUCAAAUGUUACUUGUUGGUUGAACAUGACAUGCCUGCUAAGCAGUUAAUAAAAGGGAAAGGUGGUUGCCAUUGUCUCUGAAAGCUAUUCUUUCCAUUUAGGUCUACAGGGAAUAUGCUAUACUGAAAAUUUGAAAAGGAGAAUGGAAGCGAGGGUUGUGGCUCAAGAAUUGGUCCGCACUGCCCAAAAGCCUUAGAGAAAUGAUUUUUUCUCAGGUAGCAUAGCUGUAGAUUUGUUCCUCAUCUCUGAUCAUGUUCAUCUACACACUAGCAGCACGAGAGGCAAUGGCAUGCCCACAACUUCUCACCUCACCAGGGAGCCAAGACAUGGAUCAGGACCUUGCAGGUCACCCAUGGUCCUGGAUCAUACAAGUUACUCAGAUGUCAGGAUGUUUGGGGCAUACAAGAAUGAAGUCAUCAGCUUUGCUUGAAAUUUGGCAAUUACAGGCACGCUGGGAUUUUAUCAAGGUAAAAAGAAUCAGAGUGACCACAGAAGAAAGAGAAGAAGCUCUUCCUUACACAGUAGCAAAAAAUUCAGUGUUUCAUAUUCCUUAUAGAAAUACAAUCUUGUGGUCAAAAAUACUUUGAUAUGUUUAAUAUAUUUCAAGCAUUUCCUGAAGUAUUUCCAUGUAUAUUAAUCAUGAAAUAUUCAUAUAUUUUUAAUAUGGGGGAAGAACCUUGAACUUUAACCAUGUAUCUGCAAGAAAAUGUCUAUUCUUCAUUCCAAGGUGUGUAUAAGGUUUAGGUAAGGAGUUUUGCUCAUUUCAAAUCUAUGGGACCAUAAAUUGUCUGUACAUGUAUAGAAAUCUCCCUUUGAGCUUUUGGUUUGAUACCAAUACUGAUUAUGCUUGCAGUGUGACAACAGUUACAUGUCCCUUGUUUAUUUUCCCCUCCAUCUGCAUGCAAAGAAGUCCUUGCUGUCAAUAUCCGUUACCCACAUGUAGCCAGAAGAGAUUGGACCUCACCCCAUUCCACCAGCAUUUUUCAAACUGUUAUAGCUAUGAGAUGAAAUCUCAUUUAUUUUAUGGCCACAAAUUUCAACAGGAAAUAGAGGGAUAAUUUGUUCUUCAUGGGAAAAAAAAAAAAAAAAAAAAAAGUUUCUGAUACCACCCAACACUUCAUUCUCAAUGAAGUUAGCUUUAAAGUUUCUUAAAGAGUUAUCUUAAAAAGAGAGAGAAUUUUUAAGUAACUUACAAAAUUGAAUAUAUAGUUGAUGGUUGAACUUAACAUGUCUGAUUCUCUGUUGCUAUGGAACUGGGAAGAAUCUGCAAUCUUUCAUUUGAUUUCAUUGAUGUAAGACAGCCAGUGACAUAUUGGAACACACUUCUUGCAUUACUAUUUCUAGAGUUUUCCUGAUUCUUUACCUGUUGAGUUUGAACUGAUAACUGAUUUUUUGAUCACAUAGACAAAAGGACAAUAUAAUAUGCUAUGUGAUUUUAGAAAUCCUUAUUAAGCAAGACAGAGUGCUGUACUUGCUCUCAGCACAUUUCAUGUAUGUGAAACUGAGUAAUAUUUUCCCUGCAUGUCUUAUGUAGACUAGACUAGACUAGACUAGACUAGAAUCAUUUAGGUUGAAAAAGACCUCAAA
This 1587-nucleotide long non-coding RNA is filed under the name Anas platyrhynchos platyrhynchos (common mallard). Its description in RNAcentral is "lncRNA (ENSAPLG00000019293.1)". Lineage: Eukaryota; Metazoa; Chordata; Aves; Anseriformes; Anatidae. The record is from RNAcentral.